ACUCCUACGGGAGGCAGCAGUGGGAAUAUUGCACAAUGGGCGCAAGCCUGAUGCAGCCAUGCCGCGUGUGUGAAGAAGGCCCUUCGGGUUGUAAAGCACUUUCAGUUCGGUGAAGGAAGGUGGUAGGUGUUAAUAGCACAUAUCAUUGACGUUAGCGACAGAAGAAGCACCGGCUAACUCCGUGCCAGCAGGCCGCGGUAAUACGGAGGGUGCGAGCGUUAAUCGGAAAUUACUGGGCGUAAAGC
This 245-nucleotide ribosomal RNA is filed under the name uncultured bacterium. RNAcentral describes it as "partial 16S ribosomal RNA". It matches the Rfam family "Bacterial small subunit ribosomal RNA", at positions 335 to 566 of the family's 1533-position model. The record is from RNAcentral.